This 520-nucleotide unclassified non-coding RNA is filed under the name uncultured Glomus. Its description in RNAcentral is "SSU rRNA". It matches the Rfam family "Eukaryotic small subunit ribosomal RNA", at positions 569 to 1091 of the family's 1831-position model. The record is from RNAcentral. Lineage: Eukaryota; Fungi; Glomeromycota; Glomeromycetes; Glomerales; Glomeraceae.
CGCAGCCGCGGUAAUUCCAGCUCCAAUAGCGUAUAUUAAAGUUGUUGCAGUUAAAAAGCUCGUAGUUGAAUUUCGGGAUCAAUACGUCGGUCGUGCUUCGGUACGUACUGGCGUAAUUGAUUUCUCCCUUCUGACGAACCAUGAUGUCAUUAACUUGGUGUCAUGGGAAAUCAGGACUGUUACUUUGAAAAAUUAGAGUGUUUAAAGCAGGCUCACGCUUGAAUACAUUAGCAUGGAAUAAUGAAAUAGGACGUUCGAUCCUAUUUUGUUGGUUUUUAGGAUCAACGUAAUGAUUAAUAGGGAUAGUUGGGGGCAUUAGUAUUCAAUUGUCAGAGGUGAAAUUCUUGGAUUUAUUGAAGACUAACUACUGCGAAAGCAUUUGCCAAGGAUGUUUUCAUUAAUCAAGUUAACGAAAGUUAGGGGAUCGAAGACGAUCAGAUACCGUCGUAGUCUUAACCAUAAACUAUGCCGACUAGGGAUCGGAUGAUGUUAAUUUUUAAUGACUCAUUCGGCGCCUUAA